This 497-nucleotide ribosomal RNA is filed under the name uncultured bacterium. RNAcentral's name for it is "partial 16S ribosomal RNA". It matches the Rfam family "Bacterial small subunit ribosomal RNA", at positions 28 to 507 of the family's 1533-position model. The record is from RNAcentral.
GAUGAACGCUGGCGGCGUGCCUAAUACAUGCAAGUCGAGCGAACGGACGAGAAGCUUGCUUCUCUGAUGUUAGCGGCGGACGGGUGAGUAACACGUGGAUAGCCUACCUAUAAGGCUGGGAUAACUUCGGGAAACCGGAGCUAAUACCGGAUAAUAUUUUGAACCGCAUGGUUCAAAAGUGAAAGACGGUCUUGCUGUCACUUAUAGAUGGAUCCGCGCUGCAUUAGCUAGUUGGUAAGGUAACGGCUUACCAAGGCAACGAUGCAUAGCCGACCUGAGAGGGUGAUCGGCCACACUGGAACUGAGACACGGUCCAGACUCCUACGGGAGGCAGCAGUAGGGAAUCUUCCGCAAUGGGCGAAAGCCUGACGGAGCAACGCCGCGUGAGUGAUGAAGGUCUUCGGAUCGUAAAACUCUGUUAUUAGGGAAGAACAUAUGUGUAAGUAACUGUGCACAUCUUGACGGUACCUAAUCAGAAAGCCACGGCUAACUACGUG